Molecule: small nucleolar RNA, 123 nt
Filed under: Paramormyrops kingsleyae
Lineage: Eukaryota; Metazoa; Chordata; Actinopteri; Osteoglossiformes; Mormyridae
Description: Small nucleolar RNA SNORA77 (ENSPKIG00000010221.1)
Source: RNAcentral
GCAGACUCACUCUGCCCCUCGCUGCCUCCUACAGCCCGGUGCUUUUGUGUCUGCUAGAUCAACACAGAGCGUCAUGAACGCUGGCUUCAUUGUAGGCAAGUGUCUGUAUGUUCUGGAACAUGU